GUGGCUCACAACCAUCUGUAAUGGGAUCCGGUGCUCUCUUCAGUGUCUUGCUGGUCUUGAACUCGAGCUCCUUCUUUGGCCUCCAGAAUGAUGAAAAUGUUCACUCAGGCAUCCACAGCUCCUGUCUUUAUCUGGAAAGAUGAUAAACACCCUAGUGUUUCACUGAGGACAAUAACCUUGAACUUCAAGCCUACUGCUCUCCCUGACCGUCUGCUGGGGCAUUUCCUAAGACUGACCAAACUACGCACAGGAAGAAAUGUUUGCAAGACUUUCCAGCCCACAGCCGACUUUCUAAAGCUCUCAGCACAGGAGCACAGAUGGAGAUGUUGGAGCGCCCGGGAGCUGGAGUCACAGAUGGUUCUGAGCUGCCUCAUGGUGAUGCUGGGAACCAAAGUCAGACAAUUGUCACCGUGGACCAUCUUCAGCUCCACAAGCCUGUUUAUUGAUGCUAGGAAUAAAGGAAAAAUGAAAGAGACCAAGAUGUGGUUCCUUCUCCUAUAUGAUCUGCAGAGUCAGAAAGAUACUAAACAAAUAAGCAAAGAAAUAAAAUACUCCGGAGUAGCAAAAUAUCCCUUAGAGGAGGCCUCCGGUGAGAGAUGCUGUAACACAGUGACCAGAGCAGAGGUGUCCCUGGUAAGCUAAACCCAUAAAGCUUCUAGAGGGGGUGGGUAGAGUAGGCAGGGUAGGGCGGAGGUGGACCGACCGGUAAGUUUUAAAACAGACUAGGAAGUCUUUUACAUACCAGCAGCUUGAACAUAUAUGGAAACGAUAAAAGUCCCAACCGUCUGUGACCCCAGCUCCAGAGCGUUCAACACUUCUAUCUGUGAGCACCCGUACUCAUGUCCACAUAACAGCACAUGCAUAAUUAAAAAUAUUAAAAAUUAAUCUUUUUUUAAAAAAGCAUCAGAUCACUAAAAAUGUACCAGGGUUGUUUUGGUAAACUAUAGCUGCCAGGACUGUUAACCUGGGAUUAACUGAAACAGCUUUCUGAUGGUACUAAUAAGAAUCACUCUACCUGACUAAGGUGUGAGCUACAGGGCCAGAGAGACGGCUCAGCAGUUAAGAGCACUGGCUAGGCUUCCAAAGGACAUGGAUUCAAUUCCCAGCACCCACAUGACAGCUCACAGUUGUCUGUAACUCUAGUUCCAGAGGACCUGGCACCCUCACACAGACAUUAGCAUUGGGAGGUACAAUUCCCUUAAUUAAGCCACUUAUAAAAGAGACCUUAGGCAAAACAUCAAGUACAUCUUGGAAAAAAAAAAAAAGAUGUCAACUAUACAUACAAGCCAAAGAAGACAUUACGAAACAAACAAGGGCUUAGAAGAUCAAAACUGUAUGCUCUCUUCCCUAGAGAGCUACUUAGGAUGAGCUCAAACCAGCUAAGAGAGGGAUGAGGGUCAAGGAUCUAAAGAAUGCUCAGCUUCAGAAACAAUGGUGCAGUGACCCAAGGGAAACUCAGGAGUCUUAUUCUUUUUUUUUAGUUUUUAGAUAUAUUUAUUGAA
This is a long non-coding RNA of Mus musculus (house mouse), 1502 nucleotides long. RefSeq annotates it as predicted gene, 34669. The record is from RefSeq and is a predicted model, not a curated record. Lineage: Eukaryota; Metazoa; Chordata; Mammalia; Rodentia; Muridae. The transcript has 4 exons.